RNAcentral lists this microRNA precursor (123 nucleotides) under Fragaria vesca subsp. vesca. RNAcentral describes it as "Fragaria vesca miR2111b stem-loop (fve-MIR2111b)". Lineage: Eukaryota; Viridiplantae; Streptophyta; Magnoliopsida; Rosales; Rosaceae. The record is from miRBase by way of RNAcentral.
UGAUAUUAUUGCGUCAGGAUCGGGUAAUCUGCAUCCUGAGGUUUAGAUCUGCUCAUAUGUUUGUUGUAUCUAGCCCUUGGGAUGCGGAUUACCUUGUCCUCACUGGCAAUGCAAUACUUGUCA